Long non-coding RNA from Oenanthe melanoleuca, 343 nucleotides. RefSeq lists it as uncharacterized. The record is from RefSeq and is a predicted model, not a curated record. Lineage: Eukaryota; Metazoa; Chordata; Aves; Passeriformes; Muscicapidae. The transcript is spliced from 3 exons.
UCCUCAUGCUGCAAGUCUGUGGGAGAUAAGAGGCUGUGGGGGACAACCCCUGGGUAUGACCCUUUAGCAGUGUCCUUGCACCUCUUUGGGGAUGAAGCUGGGCUGGUGCCUGCUCACUUGUGCUGAACCUGCUCUGUUGUGCUCAUCCCAGAGCUACUCAGGGCCUGGUGCUGUAAUCACUUCCCUGGGGAGCCUGUUCUGGUGCCCAACCAUGCUCUGGAUGAAGAACCUUUCCCUGAUACCCAAGGCAUCAGUGCAGAAGAGGUCAGGAUCCAUCUUUUCAAGGCUUUCAGAAGAAAUCCACUGGAGACUUCAGAAGAACAACACACAAGACUUAUGUAGG